Non-coding RNA from Paracoccidioides sp., 97 nucleotides. It matches the Rfam family "Ascomycota telomerase RNA", at positions 1285 to 1381 of the family's 1858-position model. NCBI's taxonomy places the organism in Eukaryota, Fungi, Ascomycota, Eurotiomycetes, Onygenales, Ajellomycetaceae. The record is from Rfam.
GCGGUUUUUGAGGAUGUCUUUUGUCCGCUUUCAAACGCCCUCCGACUCCCGACUUUAAUUUCGGUCCAGCAGUUUGGAGAGGAAACAAAAACUAGUC